This 1859-nucleotide small RNA is filed under the name Rattus norvegicus (Norway rat). RNAcentral's name for it is "uncharacterized LOC102554684". The record is from RNAcentral. Lineage: Eukaryota; Metazoa; Chordata; Mammalia; Rodentia; Muridae.
GCCACGCAUUCACCGCCAUGAUGGGUAGAAUUCUCAAACUGUGAGAGGGAUCAAAGCCUUCCUUCCUUGGUUGUUUAAAUCAGCUCACAGAGCAUCUCCAUCUGCCACUCGACACACCGUGUGAGCUACCACCGCGUCUCUUCUCUCGGUUACAGGUGACUACUAAGAAUUAAAGGCACAGAGAUUCAAAGAGCCCCUAAGGAGCCACGACUAGGAAACCGAAGGGAAGGAACAGGAUCUGUCUACUGUGAUAACACAGUAAACCCGAAAUGAACUCUGCAGAGGCCAGAGCAGCUGCAGCUGAGGGUGUGGAAGAUUGAGAGCAGAGGCGUUGAGCUGAGCCUAGCUGCAGAGAUAAAAAGGGCAAGACCAUGUUCAGGUGAAGGAAUGGAAAGAACAGAUAAAUAUCCAGAGGACGGGUGGUCCAGACUCAAGUAAUCCUGUCAACAGCAGGAAUGGAGCCUGGCUGAAGCCUAGGAAAGCUGGAGUCCCCUGCCUCUUGGUCCUUGAGGUACACAUCAGGUGUCAGACGGCAGCUGGGUGGGGCCUCUGCCAUCAGAUUGCCAGAUGGCUACCUUUGCACUGGGUCCAAGUGAAGGAGUUGUACCCUCUCUUUGUCUGUACAUAAGUGGUGCCCACCAGACUGUAUUCUGUGUUCACUAAGGCGUGUGGGUAUCCUCCACCCUCAAAAUGGAACCCAAAGCUAUUUAUGGAAUAUAGUCUUUCAGGGUGAGAAGCCACUGCUCUAUGCAACGCGAGGUCACUAAGAAUAGGACACUUGAUACCAACAUGGACACAGAGGGACCCCCCCUCCCCAAUGGGGACAAAGACCCUAGCUCUGGACUGUGGGAGUCCCAACACCAAACAUGGCUGUAAGAGUGCAAAUCAGCCUCUUACCUCUUGCUUUCUCUAGCGAGAUGGAGUGGCCUAGCAUGGCCUCCAGUGAAGCAUCUCUCUGCUGACAUCUGCUCAAGGGGCCACCGAAGACAACUUCUGACUUCAUUUGUUGGUUCCCCAGCAGCUCUUCGAGAAACUUUCUCAGAGGGAGACUCCGUCUUGAGUCUCUGCCAGGAGCAAGUGGGAUCGACGCUCAAGGUUCCCUCUCACCUGGAUCUGCCUUACAUCCGAGAGGUGGACUUUGUUGGCCUUUCCUGGAUCCCAGAACUAUAGGGGUACACACUCACGGCUUGCACACUGACUGAAGUGGCUCUUGAGAAACACUCUACAUGGCUUCUUCUGUCUUCCUUUCGUUUUGGUUUCUUGAAACAUGAGGGUCACAUAUGUUCGUUUUGAUUUUUGAGUUGGGAUUUAUUUCUAGACAUGAUAGGAGGAGAGAAAUUUCAACUCACUGAAUCCAUUCAAAAGCAGAAUGGCUGGCUCAUCAGCCAGGCCUCCAUAGGGCUUCUGGCUUGUUUCACAGCACGUCUAAGGGCGAAGUUUCCAUGAUUCCUUUCUCACUGGCUUAUCUGCACACUUCCCCUCUGGUUAGAUCACUCGCUAAUUAGAGAAGCAUGUUUUCUAUGGCCUCAUGUAAGGCAAGCAUCUAACUGAGCUUAAUCUCAUCAGAACCCUUUGGCCCAGCACUAAUAACUUCCUCCCACUUUCCUAUCUGUGCAUUAAUCACUGUGUUUGGAAAUGGUUAUCAGUCGUUCAUAGCUCAUCCUGUUUUGCUUUGGGUCUGUUCUUCCUGGCCUGUGUUUUGGGACACAUCCGGGUGUACAGUUUCUUGUCUAUGGUAGCCUAGCUGUGUUUGUCCAGCUUUUCCUCCCCGCUGUCUAUUAGCUUGAGGUAUCAGCAAAUGAUCCUGGAUCAGAGAACCAUGAUGGGUCCUUGGACCUGUGUGUGUGUGUGUGUGUGUG